UGUCCUUAAUAUUGUAAUUUUCUCUUAACUAGGGCUGUUUAAUGAAGAAACCAUGUAACAUCUUGUACCCCUUCAUUUUACAAACACCGAUCUUGGAGGGGACUGAUUUAUUUAAUGAAUGUGCUGUCUUCUGUGCUGUGGUGUCUUAUGAAAUGCAAUCAGUUGGUAUAAUUCUUCACAAACCAGCAGGCAUU
This is a long non-coding RNA of Nanorana parkeri, 194 nucleotides long. RefSeq lists it as uncharacterized. The transcript has 2 exons. Lineage: Eukaryota; Metazoa; Chordata; Amphibia; Anura; Dicroglossidae. The record is from RefSeq and is a predicted model, not a curated record.